Molecule: ribosomal RNA, 460 nt
Filed under: uncultured bacterium
Lineage: Bacteria
Description: partial 16S ribosomal RNA
Rfam family: Bacterial small subunit ribosomal RNA
Source: RNAcentral
CCUACGGGAGACAGCAGUGAGGAAUAUUGGUCAAUGGGCGAGAGCCUGAACCAGCCAAGUCGCGUGAGGGAAGACGGUCCUAUGGAUUGUAAACCUCUUUUGUCGGGGAGCAAAAAGGCCUCGUUAGUCCACAAUUGAGAGUACCCGAAGAAAAAGCAUCGGCUAACUCCGUGCCAGCAGCCGCGGUAAUACGGAGGAUGCGAGCGUUAUCCGGAUGUAUUGGGUUAAAAGGGUGCGUAGGCGGACUGGAAGGUCAGCGGUAAAAUCGAGAGGCUCAACCUCUUUCCGCCGUUGAAACUGUCGGUCUUGAGUGUGCGAGAAGUAAGCGGAAUGCGUGGUGUAGCGGUGAAAUGCAUAGAUAUCACGCAGAACUACGAUUGCGAAGGCAGCAUACCGGCGCCCGACUGACGCUGAGGCACGAAAGCGUGGGUAUCGAACAGGAUUAGAUACCCGAGUAGUC